RNAcentral lists this long non-coding RNA (206 nucleotides) under Citrus sinensis (sweet orange). RNAcentral's name for it is "long non-coding RNA (CSIN_LNC005411)". The record is from RNAcentral. Lineage: Eukaryota; Viridiplantae; Streptophyta; Magnoliopsida; Sapindales; Rutaceae.
AAAACUUACCUCAACAGCUUGAAAGUCAAGCCUAAAGAGAAUCCUUCUGAAGGUAUGCUCAUUAUUGAAACUAAUAUUUCAAUCAUUCAUUCUACUUCUUGGAUUUUAGAUUCUGCUGCAACCACACAUAUUUAUAUGUCAAUGUAAGAUCUAAAAAGAAGUAGAAGACUUAAACAAGGAGAAGUGUCUUUUAGAGUGGGAAAUUG